UACGUAGGUGGCGAGCGUUGUCCGGAAUUACUGGGCGUAAAGGGUGCGUAGGCGGCUUAACAAGUCAGAUGUGAAAUUCCGGGGCUUAACUUCGGAAUUGCAUUUGAAACUAUUGAGCUAGAGUGCAGGAGAGGAAAGCGGAAUUCCUAGUGUAGCGGUGAAAUGCGUAGAUAUUAGGAAGAACACCAGUGGCGAAGGCGGCUUUCUGGACUGUAACUGACGCUGAGGCACGAAAGCGUGGGGAGCAAAC
This 250-nucleotide ribosomal RNA is filed under the name uncultured bacterium. Its description in RNAcentral is "partial 16S ribosomal RNA". It matches the Rfam family "Bacterial small subunit ribosomal RNA", at positions 524 to 773 of the family's 1533-position model. The record is from RNAcentral.